The sequence is a ribosomal RNA, 121 nucleotides long. It matches the Rfam family "Bacterial small subunit ribosomal RNA", at positions 1 to 121 of the family's 1533-position model. The record is from Rfam.
CGCCCUUAGAGUUUGAUCAUGGCUCAGAAUGAACGCUGGCGGCGCGCCUAACACAUGCAAGUCGAGCGAGAAAGUUUCUUCGGAAAUGAGUACAGCGGCGGACGGGUGAGUAACACGUGAG